UUAAUUUUUAUGAUUUUCUCAGACUAUUACGGGUGAUUCAGGUUUGUGUUUGGGUCCCCAUUGACAGGCGGGCCUGCCGAGGAAACGUGUGGUACUCAAAAAGGCAAGGGUUCUAUCUCGGCGGGGCCGGAGCCCCACGUUAAUGAUCCUUCCGCAGGUUCACCUACGGAAA
This 172-nucleotide unclassified non-coding RNA is filed under the name uncultured fungus. RNAcentral describes it as "sequence contains ITS1, 5.8S rRNA gene". The record is from RNAcentral. Lineage: Eukaryota; Fungi.